Molecule: ribosomal RNA, 1710 nt
Filed under: Triticum aestivum (bread wheat)
Lineage: Eukaryota; Viridiplantae; Streptophyta; Magnoliopsida; Poales; Poaceae
Description: partial small subunit ribosomal RNA
Source: RNAcentral
AUGCACAAGAAGAAAGAAACUAUUCGUGCAUCAGGGAUGGAUGACUGCAUAGACCUCUGUUCUUCAUCAGAAGAGGAAGGACGAGGAGUUCCUGCAGGGAGAGUCGAGUCAGAGUCUGAUUCAGAUUCAGAAUUUGAUGCAAAUGCUGAAGGAGGAGUCGAGUCAGAGUCUGAUUCAGAAUUUGAUGAAAAUGCUGAAGGAGUUGAUUCAGAGCCUGAUUCAGAAUCUGAAAAAAAUGGUAAAGGACAUGGAGUAAAUGAUAAUGGACAUGGAAAAGGAGGAGUUCCUGGAGGGGUAGCUGAGCCAGAGUUUGAUUCAGAAAUCGGAGAGCAUGACAAAGGACUUGAAAAGAACACGUGCAUCGGUUCAAGGUGCAGCGUGAAGAAAAUGUACAACUUAAUCCAUGGAUUAGAUGAAGAGAAGAAAGGUUAUGUGAGGGAGAUUGGUUUUGGGGGCCUGCUUCUCCUGCCAAAGCUCAUGAGGACAAACCGGCACUUCCUCAUGUGGCUGCUAAGCAAAGUUGAUGAGGAAGCAAGCUCUAUCAUCACAGGUUACCGCAGGGACAUACCUUUCCAUGAUAAAGAUGUGGAAACUGUGCUGGGAAUUCCAUGUGGCGGCGCACCGGUGCAGAGUGAACAACACGGUGUUCCUGAGAAUGUGAUAGCAGCGAUCCGAAAGACUCUCGGAAUAUCCGAAUCGGAGCGCGACAUAGGUCCCGUGGUUGCAAUUGUGAAGAAGAAGGUCAGUGGCCAAAAGAUGACAAAAGCAGAAAUAUCAAAAUUCAAGAUUGCUUUUGUUAUAUGCGCGGCAACGUACCUGUUUGCCCCAACAAUGAAAAAUGACUACUUUGUGACAGAUUACUGGGGCGCGCUUACAAACCCUGACAUAAUUCAUUUGCACAAUUGGUCCGGUUACGUGAGGUCGGAGACUUUAAGAGCAGCAAAGAGGGUUAAAGCUGAUUUGCUUGGAGGUAGCAAGAAGUCUAACCUAUCUGGAUGUCUGCCGUUCAUUCAGACGUUCUAUUUGGAUAACUUGGAGGUGACCGGUGGAAAUAUCCCACACGACGAAUUCCCCAGGAUACAGUUUUACACGAUGGAGGUGAUCAACGCGAUAGUUGAAGACGACACGAGGUCACGCAAGGGAGCAGAACUUGUCACAUAUGGCCGAUUGCUGCCACGUCACGAAGCACUGGUGUGCUAUCAGAGGAACCCCGCGAACAGGAACAAUGUUGCUGGCGCAUCAAAUGUGUUUAACAGAAGCCAAUCUAGAUGCGCCGAGACCGGGUCUAUGACCAUAGAUGAGAUUGAAUCGCUAGUUAUGGAUAAGGUUUCAUCCUUCGCAACGGCUUGUGAAUAUGUUUUGACAAGUUUUUCAAGGAAGAAGGAAGAGGAGAACCAGAGGCACCAAGCUGCCUUGGCAGACCUCGAGAACCAGUCGCAGCAACAGGUCAAGAAUGAGUCCAGGAAAGUGAGAGAUCAACUGAAAAUACUGUUUGCUGGAAUUAGGCAUCAGGAUGGAGUAAGCUGGAAUAUGAAGGGAAAACGCCCUUUAUAUGAAGAUCCAGCUCCAACUGAGGAUGCUGAUGUUGGUUGCCCUAACUCCGAUAUGCCUCAAGAUAGCCAUUCAUCACCAGCUGCAGAGAUACCUGGCCAUGGAUCUGAACUGGCGCGUCUUGGUAUCAAGAGGGUAAUUAAAAGAAGAAAAGAGUGA